GUGUCAGCAGCCGCGGUAAGACGAACCGUGCGAACGUUGUUCGGAAUCACUGGGCUUAAAGGGCGCGUAGGCGGCUCGCGAGGUCGGGGGUGAAAUCCCGCAGCUCAACUGCGGAAGUGCCUUCGAUACCGGCGGGCUAGAGGAAGGUAGGGGUGCGCGGAACUUCUGGUGGAGCGGUGAAAUGCGUUGAUAUCAGAAGGAACGCCGGCGGCGAAAGCGGCGCACUGGACCUUAUCUGACGCUGAGGCGCGAAAGCCAGGGGAGCAAACGGGAUUAGAUACCCCGGUAGUCC
RNAcentral lists this ribosomal RNA (292 nucleotides) under uncultured bacterium. Its description in RNAcentral is "partial 16S ribosomal RNA". It matches the Rfam family "Bacterial small subunit ribosomal RNA", at positions 505 to 796 of the family's 1533-position model. The record is from RNAcentral.